GAAAAUCAAUUUCUCAAAACAGAUAUAUGAGUUUAGUUAUUUCUCUGUUUGGAAUACCAAAAGAUUACUACUUCUUUUUCCUCUUUCAAUCUCCCAAAAGCUAUCAAACUCAACUAUCUAAUAGUCAACGUCAAUGACCAAAAGUAGUACUUUGAAAAAAAUGUUCCAACAAAUUAAGCUAACCCCUUUUUUUUCCAUCUUUUAUAGCCUAGAAGCUAAAAGUUGGAUAAAGGAAAUUGGUAGUUGAGAAGUAGUACUCAAGCAUUAACAACAUCGAAUUUUUACAAUGCCCACUUUCUAUAGAGAUGCAAAUUCAAGAACUCAACAAUCGGUUUAAUGAAAUAACACGACAUUAUUUGUGUCUUUUAGAAAAUGUUAAUGAUCAAUUUAAGACUCCCUGAAAGAUGUAACCUGGAAAUAUGAAAUUUUUAAUCAAAAGAUAUGACAUAAAUCUAAGCCGGAUGUGGAGAGCAUGUUGAUUGAGGCGUAUAU
This 492-nucleotide long non-coding RNA is filed under the name Lactuca sativa (garden lettuce). RNAcentral's name for it is "long non-coding RNA (LSAT_LNC003872)". The record is from RNAcentral. Lineage: Eukaryota; Viridiplantae; Streptophyta; Magnoliopsida; Asterales; Asteraceae.